UGUUACAAUGGCGUGGACAAAGGGAAGCCACCUGGCGACAGGGAGCGAAUCCCCAAACCACGUCUCAGUUCGGAUCGGAGUCUGCAACCCGACUCCGUGAAGCUGGAUUCGCUAGUAAUCGCGCAUCAGCCAUGGCGCGGUGAAUACGUUCCCGGGCCUUGUACACACCGCCCGUCAAGCCAUGGGAGCCGGGGGUACCUGAAGUCCGUAACCGAAAGGAUCGGCCUAGGGUAAAACUGGUGACUGGGGCUAAGUCGUAACAAGGUAUC
This 269-nucleotide ribosomal RNA is filed under the name uncultured bacterium. RNAcentral's name for it is "partial 16S ribosomal RNA". It matches the Rfam family "Bacterial small subunit ribosomal RNA", at positions 1223 to 1500 of the family's 1533-position model. The record is from RNAcentral.